This 66-nucleotide transfer RNA is filed under the name Rhinopodisma eminifrontus. Its description in RNAcentral is "tRNA-Ile". The record is from RNAcentral. Lineage: Eukaryota; Metazoa; Arthropoda; Insecta; Orthoptera; Acrididae.
UAUGAAUUGCCUGAUUAAAGGGCUACCUUGAUAGGGUAAAUUAAGUAAUUUUAAUUACCUUCAUUA